This 468-nucleotide ribosomal RNA is filed under the name uncultured bacterium. Its description in RNAcentral is "partial 16S ribosomal RNA". It matches the Rfam family "Bacterial small subunit ribosomal RNA", at positions 28 to 507 of the family's 1533-position model. The record is from RNAcentral.
GACGAACGCUGGCGGCGGGCUUAACACAUGCAAGUCGAACGGAAAGGCCCUGCUUGUGUGGUGUGCUCGAUUGGGGAACGGGUGAGUAACACGAAAGUAACCGGCCCUUGACUUUGGUAUAGCUUCAGGUAAGUGGGGCUAAUACCGUAUAGGAGCCGCCCUUGCAUUGAGAGGGGGGGAAAUUCUCGGCGGGUGGGGAUGGACGCGCGGCUUAUCAGCUUGUUGGUGGGGGAGUGGCUUACCAAGGCUUUGACGGGUAGCCGGCCUGAGAGGGUGACCGGCCACAUUGGGACUGAGAUACGGCCCAGACUCCUACGGGAGGCAGCAGUGGGGAAUAUUGCACAAUGGGAGGAAGCCUGAUGCAGCAACGCCGCGUGCGGGAUGACGGCCUUCGGGUUGUAAACCGCUUUCGCCUGUGACGAAGCGUGAGUGACGGUAAUGGAUAAAGAAGCACCGGCUAACUACGUG